This 254-nucleotide ribosomal RNA is filed under the name uncultured bacterium. RNAcentral describes it as "partial 16S ribosomal RNA". It matches the Rfam family "Bacterial small subunit ribosomal RNA", at positions 524 to 776 of the family's 1533-position model. The record is from RNAcentral.
UACGGGGGGAGCAAGCGUUGUUCGGAUUUACUGGGCGUAAAGGGCGCGUAGGCGGUCGUGACAAGUCACUUGUGAAAUCUCCGGGCUUAACUCGGAACGGUCAAGUGAUACUGUCGGACUAGAGUACAGAAGGGGCAACUGGAAUUCUCGGUGUAGCGGUGAAAUGCGUAGAGAUCGGGAAGAACAUCGGUGGCGAAAGCGCUCUACUGGGCCAUAACUGACACUCAGGGACGAAAGCUAGGGGAGCGAAUGGG